AGCUCAAAUUUCGAAUCUGGCGGUCUUUAUGGCCGUCCGAGUUGUAAUCUAGAGAAGCGUCUUCCGUGCUGGACCGUGUACAAGUCUCCUGGAAGGGAGCGUCAUAGAGGGUGAGAAUCCCGUCUUUGACACGGACUGCCAGUACUAUGUGAUGCGCUCUCGACGAGUCGAGUUGUUUGGGAAUGCAGCUCAAAAUGGGUGGUAAAUUCCAUCUAAAGCUAAAUACAGGCGAGAGACCGAUAGCGAACAAGUACCGUGAGGGAAAGAUGAAAAGAACUUUGGAAAGAGAGUUAAACAGUACGUGAAAUUGCUGAAAGGGAAACGCUUGACGUCAGUCGCGUCUGCCAGGGAUCAACCUUGCCUUAUCGUGCUGGGUGUAAUUCUUGGUCGGACGGGUCAGCAUCAGUUUCGAUCGUCGUAGAAUGGCCAAGGGAAUGUGGCACCUCUAGGGGUGUGUUAUAGCCCUCGGUCGUAUGCGUCGGUGGGGACUGAGGAACUCGGCACGUCCCCCCUUCUGUGUCUAGGAUGCUGGCUUAAUGGCCUUAAGCGACCCGUCUUGAAA
RNAcentral lists this ribosomal RNA (562 nucleotides) under Phylloporus sp. RNAcentral's name for it is "partial large subunit ribosomal RNA". It matches the Rfam family "Eukaryotic large subunit ribosomal RNA", at positions 106 to 659 of the family's 3401-position model. The record is from RNAcentral. Lineage: Eukaryota; Fungi; Basidiomycota; Agaricomycetes; Boletales; Boletaceae.